Molecule: ribosomal RNA, 253 nt
Filed under: uncultured bacterium
Lineage: Bacteria
Description: partial 16S ribosomal RNA
Rfam family: Bacterial small subunit ribosomal RNA
Source: RNAcentral
UACAGAGGUCCCAAGCGUUGUUCGGAUUUACUGGGCGUAAAGGGUGCGUAGGCGGUGGGGUAAGUUUGAGGUGAAAGCUCCGGGCUCAACCCGGAAAAUGCCUUGAAAACUAUCCGGCUAGAGGGUUGGAGGGGAGACUGGAAUUCCUGGUGUAGCGGUGAAAUGCGCAGAUAUCAGGAGGAACACCGGUGGCGAAGGCGGGUCUCUGGGCAACAACUGACGCUGAGGAGCGAAAGCGUGGGGAGCGAACAGG